GGCGUAAAGCGCACGUAGGCGGAUUGGUCAGUCAGAGGUGAAAGCCCAGGGCACAACCUUGGAAUUGCCUUUGAUACUGCCAAUCUUGAGUUCAGGAGAGGUAAGCGGAAUUCCGAGUGUAGAGGUGAAAUUCGUAGAUAUUCGGAGGAACACCAGAGGCGAAGGCGGCUUACUGGACUGAUACUGACGCUCAGGAGCGAAAGCGUGGGGAGCAAACAAGAUUAGAUACCCUGGUAGUCCACGCCGUAAACGAUGAGACCUAGUUGUCUGGCAGCAUGCUGUUAGGUGACGCAGCUAACGCAUUAAGCUCUCCGCCUGGGGAGUACGGCCGCAAGGUUAAAACUCAAAGAAAUUGACUGGGGCCCGCACAAGCGGUGGAGCAUGUGGUUUAAUUCGACGCAACGCGCAGAACCUUACCUACCCUUGUCAUUUGGUGCUACAUCCAGAGAUGGAUGGUCCUCUUCGGAGGCGCCAGGACAGGUGCUGCAUGGCUGUCUUCAGCUCGUGUCGUGAGAUGUUGGGUUAAGUCCCGCAACGAGCGCAACCCUCGCCGUUAGUU
This 559-nucleotide ribosomal RNA is filed under the name uncultured Alphaproteobacteria bacterium. RNAcentral describes it as "bacterial SSU rRNA". It matches the Rfam family "Bacterial small subunit ribosomal RNA", at positions 557 to 1116 of the family's 1533-position model. Lineage: Bacteria; Pseudomonadati; Pseudomonadota; Alphaproteobacteria. The record is from RNAcentral.